GCCCUUAUAGCUCAGUGGUAGAGCGCAGCACUUGUAAUCUCCCUUUCCAAGUCUAUGCUGAGGUCCAUCGUUCAAUCCGGUGUGGGGGCA
This 90-nucleotide transfer RNA is filed under the name Annulohypoxylon maeteangense. Its description in RNAcentral is "tRNA-Thr". It matches the Rfam family "tRNA". Rfam says of the family: Transfer RNA (tRNA) molecules are approximately 80 nucleotides in length. Their secondary structure includes four short double-helical elements and three loops (D, anti-codon, and T loops). The record is from RNAcentral. Lineage: Eukaryota; Fungi; Ascomycota; Sordariomycetes; Xylariales; Hypoxylaceae.